CCACCACCACAGUACAUCCAGCACCACCAAUACCCAUCCGGGGCAGUUCCGAUGGGAUCUUACUACCAGAUGUACCCAUCUCAUUCCCAGGGCCAACAUCAUGCUCCUCGCCCACUUGAUCAGCAUAAUUUUGUGUAUUAUAUGCCUCCUCCUAAUAAUCAAGUCCCACCACCUCCAUCUAGUUUAUUCACCGGAGCAAGAACUGUCCAACCUGCAACUAAAACUGAAUCUCCGGCAGCCAUGUACAGAACAGCAAGCUCAGGGCCAGGUCAACAGCAACGUCAGCUUCAGCCUCAGCCUCAAUAUGUUGGGUACCCUACCC
RNAcentral lists this long non-coding RNA (322 nucleotides) under Lactuca sativa (garden lettuce). RNAcentral describes it as "long non-coding RNA (LSAT_LNC003305)". Lineage: Eukaryota; Viridiplantae; Streptophyta; Magnoliopsida; Asterales; Asteraceae. The record is from RNAcentral.